Pachysolen tannophilus NRRL Y-2460 is the source of this 72-nucleotide transfer RNA. It matches the Rfam family "tRNA". Rfam says of the family: Transfer RNA (tRNA) molecules are approximately 80 nucleotides in length. The record is from Rfam. Lineage: Eukaryota; Fungi; Ascomycota; Pichiomycetes; Alaninales; Pachysolenaceae.
UCCGAAGUAGUGUAAUGGCUAUCACCUCGCGUUCUCAUCGCGAUAAUCCGGGUUCAAUUCCCGGCUUCGGAG